Molecule: ribosomal RNA, 253 nt
Filed under: uncultured microorganism
Description: partial small subunit ribosomal RNA
Rfam family: Bacterial small subunit ribosomal RNA
Source: RNAcentral
UACGUAGGUGGCGAGCGUUGUCCGGAUUUACUGGGCGUAAAGGGUGCGUAGGCGGAUAUUUAAGUCAGAUGUGAAAACCCCGGGCUUAACUUGGGGACUGCAUUUGAAACUGGAUAUCUGGAGUGCAGGAGAGGAAAGCGGAAUUCCUAGUGUAGCGGUGAAAUGCGUAGAGAUUAGGAAGAACACCAGUGGCGAAGGCGGCUUUCUGGACUGUAACUGACGCUGAGGCACGAAAGCGUGGGUAGCAAACAGG